GAUGAACGCUGGCGGCGUGCUUAACACAUGCAAGUCGAACGGAAAGGCCCAAGCUUGCUUGGGUACUCGAGUGGCGAACGGGUGAGUAACACGUGGGUGAUCUGCCCUGCACUUCGGGAUAAGCCUGGGAAACUGGGUCUAAUACCGGAUAGGACGAUGGUUUGGAUGCCAUUGUGGAAAGUUUUUUCGGUGUGGGAUGAGCUCGCGGCCUAUCAGCUUGUUGGUGGGGUAAUGGCCUACCAAGGCGUCGACGGGUAGCCGGCCUGAGAGGGUGUACGGCCACAGUGGGACUGAGAUACGGCCCAGACUCCUACGGGAGGCAGCAGUGGGGAAUAUUGCACAAUGGGCGCAAGCCUGAUGCAGCGACGCCGCGUGGGGGAUGACGGCCUUCGGGUUGUAAACUCCUUUCGCUAGGGACGAAGCGUUUUGUGACGGUACCUGGAGAAGAAGCACCGGCUAACUACGUG
Molecule: ribosomal RNA, 467 nt
Filed under: uncultured bacterium
Lineage: Bacteria
Description: partial 16S ribosomal RNA
Rfam family: Bacterial small subunit ribosomal RNA
Source: RNAcentral